AUGUAAAUGAGGUAGGGGGCCCUGACUUCAGUCUCGGGCAGGAAUGGUCAACUGAGUGAUCCAGACAGAAGUAAUCUAUUCCUAGCGAAUCUUCCUUGUAUAGUAGUUAGCAAACUAGCGUUACAUGUAAUGGCUUCAACCGGGAGACCGCUGGCAGACCUGCUGCGGGAUGUGGCUAAUCAGCUUGAGAACUGUGAGUUUCUUUUGUUUAUUUCUGUAAACAGUAUAACUAACAGUUAUGUCCAACUUUUGCCAAUGUAUUGUAUUACACUGAAUUAGCCACCCAUGUGGUGAUCAUCACUUUAGUAUUUUUUGUGCAGCGCCGGGUACCGGUAGCGUGCCAAAUUCAUCCACGCCGUCCCGUAAUAUGACACCAAGACACCCAGUGGACGCCGAGGUGUCAAGACUGUUUGGUCCAUAUACCCAUGGAGGGAGAAGCUCGACAAGGCGGCGAACCCUUGGUGUGCCCACACUCUCCUCUUACACUCAUUCCUUCUGCUGUGUCGAGAAUAAAAGUGCCGACAUUGUCCCCAACCGAUUCGCCAAAGAGAGACUUGCUUCUGCAGGGUUAGGGGAAAAAGUCUGACAUUUCAAGGUUGUCAAACAAAUCCGAAUGAAUUUAGAGAAUUUAUUUUAGAGGCCUAUCCCAAACUCAGACAAGGGGGUGGAUUUGAGUUGCUCCGAAUUGCUGGAACUACAAGAAGUCGCCAACUGAUCCUCAUCCCGUGUCCCAAUGAGGGCUACCAUGUGAGACAUUUGAAAGAUCCACAAAACCAGAUUGGUCAUGCUAUUAUUUUCAUUCGACCACUCCAAAGGAACCUGGAUCUCGAGCAUGUAUGUCAACCAGAAUGCAACAAUGGGCUGGUUGGACCACCUGAGAAAUGUAUCACUUGUGGAGAGGAGUUUCCUUUUUCACAAAUCAAAGCUCAUAGUGAUGAAUGCAUGAGGUACUGCCCUACAGAACUAAAACAUAUCAUUUGUCAAGCACACUGCAUGUGUAGUCAUAUAUUUGACAUGACCCAUUUGGCUGUGUGAGUCGUCCAACAAGUGUAAAGCAUCCUGACUGUUGUGUGUGUAUGUAGGAUAAACAAUUAUAGCUAUAAAUGUAUAAGAACACAAUAGAUGAGCUCUUUCUAUACCAACCAUCCUGUUUGUGUCUAUCCAUAUUUUUCUGUCUUCAAUAAGACAAACAAAUGUGGUGGACACUGUUUGGGUUGUACUGGUUCCAGGCUGAAACCAGAUCACCCCAAGAAUGUGAAUGUAGCUUUUUUUUAACCUGUAAGUUUCUGCAGGAUAAAGUCAACCAGGUUAUCCAGUGGCUGAUUGACAAUCCCUUUGCUAUUGCUGUAUGACAGUUGAAAAUCUAUGUGAUUUGACUUUUCUAUUUUAAUUUAAGUGCCAGGAGGAACCCUUCUUUUUGAGGGUGAAAAUGAUCAUCUGAUACCCUCCACUUCCCAUAUCCUUUUGGAGAGUGACUUAUUUGUUGUUGCUGGACGAUUCAUUUCUGCAUGAUGGGCCAUGCCUGGGUGGACUGAGCCCAGCAAUCCUGCAUGUGCUCUUUGGUGGAUCCCCAGAAGAAGCCACUAUAGAUAUUAAGGACUGUGCUGACCUUGUGCUGACAAAAUAUGUAUAUUUUGUCAAGAUUUUAAAAUAACUAGGGCUAGGACAAUGAAAAUAAUAUUUUAAGUCAGGAAGAAAUGAUUAACAAAUGCUUAAAUAUAAAUUAAUUAAAUAAGAAAAAAAACUUAAUUCAGUAUUCUUCCACAAUCACAUCAUACAGUUAAUAUUUUCACCAGCAGGGGGUGCUAAACCAACAGUUUUACCAUGUUAUAAACUACUACCAUGCUGACCACAUGAAUUUUUAAUAAAAUUGAAAUGUU
Hippoglossus stenolepis (Pacific halibut) is the source of this 1880-nucleotide long non-coding RNA. RefSeq lists it as uncharacterized. The transcript has 4 exons. Lineage: Eukaryota; Metazoa; Chordata; Actinopteri; Pleuronectiformes; Pleuronectidae. The record is from RefSeq and is a predicted model, not a curated record.